Molecule: unclassified non-coding RNA, 268 nt
Filed under: Hevea brasiliensis (rubber tree)
Lineage: Eukaryota; Viridiplantae; Streptophyta; Magnoliopsida; Malpighiales; Euphorbiaceae
Source: RNAcentral
GUCGACUGUUGCAAUCUGAAUGAAUUCGUUUUUUAAAAACAGAAACAAGACAUUUCAAGCCUGGAAAAGCUUCUUGACUGUAGCAGCCAUGUAUUUCCCCUGAUGCUCUGCAAGUGCCAACUCUGCUUCGCUUGGCUGUCUCGAUCCAUCACCAGCAAAAGCUCCUGCCCCAUAAGGAGACCCCCCUCGUAUUGUGUCUAUAUUGAACAUACCAGCACCAAAAGUGUAGCCGAUGGGAACAAACAGCAUUCCAUGGUGAGCUAACUGG